Molecule: transfer RNA, 179 nt
Filed under: Haloquadratum walsbyi
Lineage: Archaea; Methanobacteriati; Methanobacteriota; Halobacteria; Halobacteriales; Haloferacaceae
Also listed under: 3 other names
Rfam family: tRNA
About the family: Transfer RNA (tRNA) molecules are approximately 80 nucleotides in length. Their secondary structure includes four short double-helical elements and three loops (D, anti-codon, and T loops).
Source: Rfam by way of RNAcentral
GGGGUCGUGGCCAAGCCCGGUAUGGCGACUGACUCCAGAGGCAGACCGCCCGGUGACGAUACUCCAGACUGAUAUACCGAGCGAUCAACUGAUCAUUGAUCGCAGUGACGACCCUCUGGGGUACCGAGGCGCGAACCGGAGAUAUCAGUCGAUCGGGGGUUCAAAUCCCUCCGACCCCA